CAUCCCAAUGAAGUUUGUCGUUGCAAUUAAAAAAAGUAGUGGGCUGACCUUCAUUGAAGACAAACCAUUUCUGAGGGACU
Small nucleolar RNA from Ziziphus jujuba (common jujube), 80 nucleotides. RefSeq annotates it as small nucleolar RNA R21. NCBI's taxonomy places the organism in Eukaryota, Viridiplantae, Streptophyta, Magnoliopsida, Rosales, Rhamnaceae. The transcript has a single exon. The record is from RefSeq and is a predicted model, not a curated record.